RNAcentral lists this ribosomal RNA (539 nucleotides) under Elusimicrobiota bacterium. Its description in RNAcentral is "bacterial SSU rRNA". It matches the Rfam family "Bacterial small subunit ribosomal RNA", at positions 1 to 532 of the family's 1533-position model. Lineage: Bacteria; Pseudomonadati; Elusimicrobiota. The record is from RNAcentral.
UUUAAUGGAGAGUUAGAUCCUGGCUCAGAAUUAACGCUGGCAGAGUGCAUAACACAUGCAAGUCGAGCGGGGCUGUCUGAGAUUACAUCAACUGGCAGUCAAGCGGCAAACGAGUGAGUAACACGUAAGUAAUCUGCCCCCGAAUGGCGAACAACCAGCCGAAAGGUUGGCUAAUACGCCGUACAAUCCCUGGAAGGCAUCUCCCGGGGAUGAUAGGCCCGCAAGGGCCGUUCGGGGAGGAGCUUGCGGCCCAUCAGCUAGUUGGCGGUGUAACGGACCACCAAGGCUAUGACGGGUACCCGGCCUGAAAGGGCGGACGGGCACGAUGGCACUGAGACACGGGCCAUACUCCUACGGGAGGCAGCAGUGGGGAAUUUUGGACAAUGGGGGAAACCCUGAUCCAGCAAUCCUGCGUGAGGGACGAAGUCCUUCGGGAUGUAAACCUCUUUUGUCGGGGAAGAAUGCCCGCAAGGGUUUGACGGUACCCGGCGAAUAAGCCACGGCUAACUACGUGCCAGCAGCCGCGGUAAGACGUAGGU